CCUACGGGAGGCAGCAGUAGGGAAUCUUUCACAAUGGGCGAAAGCCUGAUGGAGCAACGCCGCGUGCAGGAUGAAGGCCUUCGGGUUGUAAACUGCUUUUAUAAGCGAGCAAUAUGAUGGUAACUUAUGAAUAAGGAUCGGCUAACUACGUGCCAGCAGCCGCGGUCAUACGUAGGAUCCGAGCAUUAUCCGGAGUGACUGGGUGUAAAGAGUUGCGUAGGUGGCAUAAUAAGUAGCUAGUGAAAUCUGGUGGCUCAACCAUUCAGACUAUUAGCUAAACUGUUAAGCUCGAGACCGUUAGGGGUAACUGGAAUUUCUAGUGUAGGAGUGAAAUCCGUAGAUAUUAGAAGGAACACCAAUAGCGUAGGCAGGUUGCUGGGACGGUUCUGACACUAAGGCACGAAAGCGUAGGGAGCAAACGGGAUUAGAUACCCCUGUAGUC
Molecule: ribosomal RNA, 442 nt
Filed under: uncultured bacterium
Lineage: Bacteria
Description: partial 16S ribosomal RNA
Rfam family: Bacterial small subunit ribosomal RNA
Source: RNAcentral